Non-coding RNA from Saimiri boliviensis boliviensis (Bolivian squirrel monkey), 573 nucleotides. The record is from RefSeq and is a predicted model, not a curated record. NCBI's taxonomy places the organism in Eukaryota, Metazoa, Chordata, Mammalia, Primates, Cebidae.
AAAGAAAACUACCAGGUCCUACAGAAAAGGGAAGCCGAGGAGCUCACCUUCAGCCAGUCCCCGUAGUGGACGUAGCCCCCGAUGUAGGCGGCGUAGGUGCUAAUGGCCAAUUGGAGUGCGGCCCCCAGCGCGAACCAGCGCCGCUUCACGCCAAAGGACAUGAAACUAGCGCACAGCACGGCCGCCCCCAUGUCGAAAUACAGAAACAAUGGCGUCGCUCUCUGGUUCCGGACCGUAAGGUGUUCUAGUUGCGAAGUCCAGCCUUCUUGUCUGCUCAUGGAGACUUCAGGGCCCAUCUUUGUCCCUGCAAAACUGAAAACUAGACUAGAGGAAGGAACCGUGGGCUCAGGAUAGCAGAAGUCUUGGACCGUAGUGCAAACUGAUCUUUGAAUGCAGCCCGAUCAGGGGCCUAAUCCUAAUUCCAACCCUGUGUGAUUUUGGGCACAUCACCCAAACUUUGUGAGAUUCAUCAUGAAAUGGGGAUAAUGACACCUGCCUCAGAGUUGUGAACUUUAAAUGUGACAGGUUGGUCCUAGUACAUAGUAGCGGUUCAAUAAAUGGUACAUACACGCA